GUGGUUUGUCGCGUUGUUCGUGAAAUCUCACGGCUUAACUGUGAGCGUGCGGGCGAUACGGGCAGACUUGAGUACUGCAGGGGAGACUGGAAUUCCUGGUGUAGCGGUGGAAUGCGCAGAUAUCAGGAGGAACACCGGUGGCGAAGGCGGGUCUCUGGGCAGUAACUGACGCUGAGGAGCGAAAGCGUGGGGAGCGAACAGGAUUAGAUACCCUGGUAGUCCACGCCGUAAACGGUGGGUACUAGGUGUGGGUUUCCUUCCUUGGGAUCCGUGCCGUAGCUAACGCAUUAAGUACCCCGCCUGGGGAGUACGGCCGCAAGGCUAAAACUCAAAGAAAUUGACGGGGGCCCGCACAAGCGGCGGAGCAUGUGGAUUAAUUCGAUGCAACGCGAAGAACCUUACCUGGGUUUGACAUGCACAGGACGCCGGCAGAGAUGUCGGUUCCCUUGUGGCCUGUGUGCAGGUGGUGCAUGGCUGUCGUCAGCUCGUGUCGUGAGAUGUUGGGUUAAGUCCCGCAACGAGCGCAACCCUUGUCUCAUGUUGCCAGCGGGUAAUGCCGGGGACUCGUGAGAGACUGCCGGGGUCAACUCGGAGGAAGGUGGGGAUGACGUCAAGUCAUCAUGCCCCUUAUGUCCAGGGCUUCACACAUGCUACAAUGGCCGGUACAAAGGGCUGCGAUGCCGCGAGGUUAAGCGAAUCCUUUUAAAGCCGGUCUCAGUUCGGAUCGGGGUCUGCAACUCGACCCCGUGAAGUCGGAGUCGCUA
Molecule: ribosomal RNA, 764 nt
Filed under: uncultured bacterium
Lineage: Bacteria
Description: bacterial SSU rRNA
Rfam family: Bacterial small subunit ribosomal RNA
Source: RNAcentral